This 254-nucleotide ribosomal RNA is filed under the name uncultured bacterium. Its description in RNAcentral is "partial 16S ribosomal RNA". It matches the Rfam family "Bacterial small subunit ribosomal RNA", at positions 524 to 776 of the family's 1533-position model. The record is from RNAcentral.
UACGUAGGGUGCGAGCGUUAAUCGGAAUUACUGGGCGUAAAGCGUGCGCAGGCGGUUUUGUAAGCCAGAUGUGAAAUCUCCGGGCUUAACUCGGAACGGUCAGAUGAUACUGCUUUGCUCGAGUGCGGAAGGGGCAAUCGGAAUUCUUGGUGUAGCGGUGAAAUGCGUAGAUAUCAAGAGGAACACCUGAGGUGAAGACGGGUUGCUGGGCCGACACUGACGCUGACAGCGCGAAAGCCAGGGGAGCAAACGGG